This 23-nucleotide non-coding RNA is filed under the name Arabidopsis thaliana (thale cress). The record is from RNAcentral. Lineage: Eukaryota; Viridiplantae; Streptophyta; Magnoliopsida; Brassicales; Brassicaceae.
UGCAACCCGAUCUUAAAAGCCUA